Molecule: ribosomal RNA, 253 nt
Filed under: uncultured bacterium
Lineage: Bacteria
Description: partial 16S ribosomal RNA
Rfam family: Bacterial small subunit ribosomal RNA
Source: RNAcentral
UACAUAGGGGGCAAGCGUUAUCCGGAAUUAUUGGGCGUAAAGCGCGCGUAGGCGGCUACUUAAGUCAGACGUGAAAAACCUGGGCUCAACUAAGGUAUUGCGUUUGAAACUGGGUAGCUUGAGGACAGGAGAGGAUAGUGGAAUUCCUAGUGUAGCGGUGAAAUGCGUAGAUAUUCGAAGGAACACCGGUGGCGAAGGCGGCUACCUGGACCGAUACUGACGCUGAGACGCGAAAGCGUGGGGAGCAAACAGG